GACGAACGCUGGCGGCGUGCUUAACACAUGCAAGUCGAACGGAAAGGCCCUGCUUUUGUGGGGUGCUCGAGUGGCGAACGGGUGAGUAACACGUGAGUAACCUGCCCUUGACUUUGGGAUAACUUCAGGAAACUGGGGCGAAUACCGGAUAGGAGCUGCUGCUGCAGGGUGGGGGUUGGAAAGUUUCGGCGGUUGGGGAUGGACUCGCGGCUUAUAAGCUUGUUGGUGGGGUAGUGGCUUACCAAGGCUUUGACGGGUAGCCGGCCUGAGCGGGUGACCGGCCACAUUGGGACUGAGAUACGGCCCAGACUCCUACGGGAGGCAGCAGUGGGGAAUAUUGCACAAUGGGCGGAAGCCUGAUGCAGCAACGCCGCGUGCGGGAUGACGGCCUUCGGGUUGUAAACCGCUUUCGCCUGUGACGAAGCGUGAGUGACGGUAAUGGGUAAAGAAGCACCGGCUAACUACGUG
This 468-nucleotide ribosomal RNA is filed under the name uncultured bacterium. Its description in RNAcentral is "partial 16S ribosomal RNA". It matches the Rfam family "Bacterial small subunit ribosomal RNA", at positions 28 to 507 of the family's 1533-position model. The record is from RNAcentral.